This 1354-nucleotide ribosomal RNA is filed under the name Clostridium perfringens. RNAcentral describes it as "partial 23S ribosomal RNA". It matches the Rfam family "Bacterial large subunit ribosomal RNA", at positions 1 to 1362 of the family's 2925-position model. The record is from RNAcentral. Lineage: Bacteria; Bacillati; Bacillota; Clostridia; Eubacteriales; Clostridiaceae.
AGGUCAAGCUACAAAGGGCGCAUGGUGAAUGCCUUGGCAUCAGGAGCCGAUGAAGGACGUGAUAAGCUGCGAUAAGCUUCGGGUAGGCGCACAUAGCCUGAGAUCCGAAGAUCUCCGAAUGAGGAAACUCACAUGGGAAACCCCAUGUAUCAUUAAGUGAAUACAUAGCUUAAUGAAGGUAACCCAGGGAACUGAAACAUCUAAGUACCUGGAGGAAGAGAAAGAAAAAUCGAUUUUCUUAGUAGCGGCGAGCGAAAGGGAAAGAGCCCAAACCGGAAACUUGUUUCCGGGGUUGUGGACAUAACAUAAAAGUGGAGGCUAUUGUAACUGAAGAGAACUGGAAAGUUCCACCGUAGAAGGUAAUAGUCCUGUAAGUGAAACGAGAAGACCACGAGUUAUGAUCCAGAGUACCACGAGACACGUGAAACCUUGUGGGAAGCAGGGAGGACCACCUCCCAAGGCUAAAUACUACCUGAUGACCGAUAGUGAAGCAGUACCGUGAGGGAAAGGUGAAAAGAACCCCGGGAGGGGAGUGAAAUAGAACCUGAAACCGUGUGCCUACAACCGCUCAGAGCCCCUUAUGAGGGUGAUGAGGUGCUUUUUGUAGAACGAGCCAACGAGUUACGGUAUGUAGCAAGGUUAAGUACUUAAGGUACGGAGCCGAAGGGAAACCGAGUCUGAAUAGGGCGACUAGUUGCAUGCCGUAGACCCGAAACCGGGUGACCUAUCCAUGGCCAGGUUGAAGCGAGGGUAAAACCUCGUGGAGGACCGAACCACGUUGCUGUUGAAAAAGCAUGGGAUGAGCUGUGGAUAGCGGAGAAAUUCCAAUCGAACCCGGAGAUAGCUGGUUCUCUCCGAAAUAGCUUUAGGGCUAGCGUCGAGUAUGAGUAGUGGAGGUAGAGCACUGAAUGGGCUAGGGGGCAUAGCGCUUACCGAACCUUAUCAAACUCCGAAUGCCACAUACUUUGAGCUCGGCAGUCAGACUACGAAUGAUAAGAUCCGUGGUCAAAAGGGAAACAGCCCAGAUCGUCAGCUAAGGUCCCAAAGUGUAAGUUAAGUGGGAAAGGAUGUGAGAUUUCUAAGACAACUAGGAUGUUGGCUUAGAAGCAGCCAUUCAUUAAAAGAGUGCGUAAUAGCUCACUAGUCGAGAGAUCUUGCGCCGAAAAUGUAACGGGGCUAAACUUACCACCGAAGCUACGGGCUUGAACUUAGUUCAAGCGGUAGGAGAGCGUCGUAACCGGGCUGAAGUCGUACCGUAAGGAGCGGUGGACUGGUUACGAGUGAGAAUGUUGGCAUCAGUAGCGAGAUGUGGGUGAGAAUCCCACAGGCCGAAAACCUAAGGUUUCCUCAGGAA